RNAcentral lists this ribosomal RNA (460 nucleotides) under uncultured bacterium. Its description in RNAcentral is "partial 16S ribosomal RNA". It matches the Rfam family "Bacterial small subunit ribosomal RNA", at positions 338 to 795 of the family's 1533-position model. The record is from RNAcentral.
CCUACGGGUGACAGCAGUGAGGAAUAUUGGUCAAUGGACGAGAGUCUGAACCAGCCAAGUAGCGUGAAGGAUGACUGCUCUAUGGGUUGUAAACUUCUUUUAUAUGGGAAUAAAACAGGGUAUGCAUACCCUCUUGUAUGUACCAUAUGAAUAAGGAUCGGCUAACUCCGUGCCAGCAGCCGCGGUAAUACGGAGGAUCCGAGCGUUAUCCGGAUUUAUUGGGUUUAAAGGGAGCGUAGGUGGAUUGUUAAGUCAGUUGUGAAAGUUAGCGGCUCAACCGUAAAAUUGCAGUUGAAACUGGCAGUCUAGAGUGCAGUAGAGGUGGGGGGAAUUCGUGGUGUAGCGGUGAAAUGCUUAGAUAUCACGAAGAACUCCGAUUGCGAAGGCAGCUCACUGGACUGCAACUGACACUGAUGAACGAAAGUGUGGGUAGCAAACAGGAUUAGAUACCCUGGUAGUC